RNAcentral lists this ribosomal RNA (497 nucleotides) under uncultured bacterium. RNAcentral describes it as "partial 16S ribosomal RNA". It matches the Rfam family "Bacterial small subunit ribosomal RNA", at positions 28 to 507 of the family's 1533-position model. The record is from RNAcentral.
GAUGAACGCUGGCGGCGUGCCUAAUACAUGCAAGUCGAGCGAACGGACGAGAAGCUUGCUUCUCUGAUGUUAGCGGCGGACGGGUGAGUAACACGUGGAUAACCUACCUCUAAGACUGGGAUAACUUCGGGAAACCGGAGCUAAUACCGGAUAAUAUUUUGAACCGCAUGGUUCAAAAGUGAAAGACGGUCUUGCUGUCACUUAUAGAUGGAUCCGCGCUGCAUUAGCUAGUUGGUAAGGUAACGGCUUACCAAGGCAACGAUGCAUAGCCGACCUGAGAGGGUGAUCGGCCACACUGGAACUGAGACACGGUCCAGACUCCUACGGGAGGCAGCAGUAGGGAAUCUUCCGCAAAGGGCGAAAGCCUGACGGAGCAACGCCGCGUGAGUGAUGAAGGUCUUCGGAUCGUAAAACUCUGUUAUUAGGGAAGAACAUAUGUGUAAGUAACUGUGCACAUCUUGACGGUACCUAAUCAGAAAGCCACGGCUAACUACGUG